Molecule: unclassified non-coding RNA, 347 nt
Filed under: soil metagenome
Description: partial contains 5.8S ribosomal RNA, internal transcribed spacer 2, and large subunit ribosomal RNA
Rfam family: 5.8S ribosomal RNA (bases 1-120)
Source: RNAcentral
GAUGAAGAACGCAGCGAAAUGCGAUACGUAAUGUGAAUUGCAGAAUUCAGUGAAUCAUCGAGUCUUUGAACGCACAUUGCGCCCCCUGGUAUUCCGGGGGGCAUGCCUGUCCGAGCGUCAUUGCUGCCCUCAAGCACGGCUUGUGUGUUGGGCCUCCGUCCUCCUCCCGGGGGACGGGCCCGAAAGGCAGCGGCGGCACCGCGUCCGGUCCUCGAGCGUAUGGGGCUUCGUCACCCGCUCUUGUAGGCCCGGCCGGCGCUUGCCGGCGACCCCCCUCAAUCUUUUCAGGUUGACCUCGGAUCAGGUAGGGAUACCCGCUGAACUUAAGCAUAUCAAUAAGCGGAGGA